CUCUAGAAGGAAAAUUACGAAAUGGCGGUUGAAAUCAACUUGAGGACAGUGAUAGUGUUUACCGUGUUUUCAGCGGUAAAAUCAACUACUCUAAAAGAUGGCCACCUUUUAACGCCUAAUGUAACUGGCAGUAUGAAAGGAUUUCAUGACCUUUCCCGGCGUGUGACGUAUCCAGAGAAAAAAUGGCGUGGCGGUGAGGAAACAUUUAUUCAUAACGGCUACAGAGGCGAUCCGGAGACGAGAAGUUUGACGAAACGUUCGGAAGUCGUAAGAUGCAUUUCGCGCUUUACGAGAGACAGCAUCUACAACAAUUGUAUACGACCCUGUUCAAAAAUUAACUGUAUUAACGGAAAGUGCGAUGGUCGCACCGAAUGCAAGUGUAACGACGGAUACGUCAAGUCCCAAACCAAUAGCUUCAUCUGCCAUUCAAAGUGCAGACCCUGCCUGCCUGGGGAAUGCACCAAGUCGCAACUCUGUACCUGUGACAAAGGUUACAGGUUGAGUUCGAACCAACAAACUUGCGAACCGAUAUGCAAUGCGCAACGCUGCAAUGGAGAACUUUGCGUCAGUCCGAAUGUCUGCUACGUGGAUUCGCCCUACUACUCCAAAUUUGUAUAUGGUCAGUAUUGCAGUAGGGAGUGUAGGUUUGGCGAAUGCGUUGGUCUUGAUACCUGCAAAUGCUUCAACGGCUACAAUAAGACGAAAGAUGGUCGGUGUGCCGAUCCGAUUUGUAACGAGGGGUGUGGACAUGGCAGAUGCGUUGGUCCUAAUACCUGCGAAUGCUUCAAAGGCUACAAUAAGACGAAAGAUGGUCAGUGUUUCGAUCCGAUUUGUAACAAGGGGUGUGGACAUGGCAGAUGCGUUGGUCCUAAUACCUGCGAAUGCUUCAAAGGCUACAAUAUGACGAAAGAUGGUCGGUGUUUCGAUCCGAUUUGUAACAAGGGGUGUGGACAUGGCAGAUGCGUUGGUCCUAAUACCUGCGAAUGCUUCAAAGGCUACAAUAUGACGAAAGAUGGUCGGUGUUUCGAUCCGAUUUGUAACAAGGGGUGUGGACAUGGCAGAUGCGUUGGUCCUAAUACCUGCGAAUGCUUCAAAGGCUACAAUAUGACGAAAGAUGGUCGGUGUUUCGAUCCGAUUUGUAACAAGGGGUGUGGACAUGGCAGAUGCGUUGGUCCUAAUACCUGCGAAUGCUUCAAAGGCUACAAUAUGACGAAAGAUGGUCGGUGUUUCGAUCCGAUUUGUAACAAGGGGUGUGGACAUGGCAGAUGCGUUGGUCCUAAUACCUGCGAAUGCUUAAACGGCUACAAUAAAACGAAAGAUGGUCAAUGCACUUAUCCAAUCUGCAAAGAAGAGUGCAAAUAUUCAUCAUGUACCGGUCCACAUAUCUGUACUUGUCGUCUGGGGUACGAAAAACCCUUUGAAAAUUCGACAAGGUGCGUUCCUCGCUGUACAAGAUGUAACAACGGUAUCUGCGACGGCCCUGAGAUUUGCCGUUGCCAUAGUGGAUUUGUAAAUCCCAAAAGUGAUAAUGGAACCUGCGUCAAAUGCAACUCGGAGAGUAACCAUGACGUGUGUCCUGACAGUGGAUGCGAUUGCUGUCCUGGCUGGAAGGGGGAAUCCCGCAACGCGUCACUUUGGUGUGCUAUCACGAAUCGUCAGAACUCUACAUACACAGCAAGUGAGCGGAAGGAUUCGAGAAGAACUAACAAUACAAUCGAUUGUCAUCGAAUCAAGUGGGACGGACCAAUUUGUAAACAGGAAUGUUCCGACCAACUCGAUAAUAGCAGUAUCAACUUCACCGGUUGUUGCACGGAGAUGGGUCAUCGUCUCAUAGAGAUCGACUCACUGUGCAAUCGUUCCGUUGAGAAGACUUUCUUGGAAAAAAACAGAAUCUUGCUGAUCGGAACUGGGAUAGCAAUUCUAUUGAUCGCAGUUUUCAUCUGCAUUAGUGUUGCCGUAAAAAGAAGAGCCGAAACAACGGACAAAAUAUACAGUGAACCGGCAGAAUACGUAUCCAACAACUAUAUGGUAGAAAAUGACAUUUAUUUGCAAAGUUCGACUGUGUGAUUUGAAGUUUACCAACUCAUGCGUUGAAAAAUAUUGCAUACUCUCUGUAUAUAUUAUGUUGACCGUAUAUCUGUAAAUAUUCAAUUAUUAUUUGUAUUCUAAGGCCCAAGAUCGUAAGAUAGUUGACACGUGAAUAGAUCAAGUUUGCUCACAGAAUAAUGACGACACGUUCAGUGAUCGAUUUAAAUACCUACCCUGAUGAAUCUCAUUGACUGCAAAAAAUUCCAUUGCCGCAUAUUUUGGUCAACAAGAUUAUACGGGAACCGGAGUCGUCAAUAAAACCUGCGCUGAAAGUUAAGGUAAAAUCUUGUAAGUUUCAGUCCAUGUGUGGUAUUUUCAUACGUAGAAAAUAAUAACCCGUACUUGCUACGAGGUCGUUCUUUGGCGAAAUAUUUCUUUUCGCUGCAAUUAAAUAAUUCAAUUAAAUUUUUUCACUCUGUUUCUGAGAAAAAUAUUGAAGGACAGUUAUUUCAAACCUUACUUGUGUAAUGAUAAGGAAUUUGGUGGUUGCUUAACCGUGAUGUGGUCAUGACGCAGAACGUAAUAUUCGCGUCCGAUGACGAUGGCUAAAGUCCGUAGUUUACCACUAACUUUUCACUUCCCUAACACGUUGGUAUUAGCAUUUAUUAAUUAUUAUAAGAAAGGAUUGCAAUGGUCGCCGAUACUGCCAGGUGGACCACGAUUGUGUUGGUUACAGUAGGAUUUUCCGUACGUCCACGAGGUAAAGUCGACUGUGAAGUGCACGCAGGAUUAUCGAUCUUCUUAUUCUUAAGGUUGAAAAAAAAUGUUAAACACGAACUUGGUUUCCAUCGAUUGGAAAGAAAUCUGACUCGACGAUUUGCCUUGUUCACCGCUUGUACGUACGUAAUUCAUUCACAGCUGCCUAGAAUUACGGAAAGUCCCUUAUCAAGAGUCUUACACCGAGAAAUGCUGGUUGUUCUUCACCUGCGACGGAUCGUGUACCGGUUACAUCAUUGACGUCAGAGCAGCUCUUGACUGUGAACGUGAAUCUGGAAAAAACAAAACAGCCUACGUUCACGAAAAUCAAAGAUCUGUCAAUAAGAGCAGAUGUGACAGUGGCUUGGAAGGCGAACCCUGCGAUGAGCCAGAUCUGUGUGUGAUCGCCGAACUCGACGGAGAAGAGGUUGCCAAACGAACCAGGAACGAUACUUCCGUAACCAACUGGCAAGAGUUCCCUGCUUGCCGACAGAAAUGUCUCGACGAACUACGCGGAAAGGUUGUCCAUUCUACCCAGAUUCUCGCAAACAUAACGUACUAUUUGAUUCCUGCUCAUUCCCAGUGCAACGCUACGGAAACUUAUGAGCCAUUUUAUGCGAAACAUGCUAAUAUAACGGCAGCAGUAAUCUUGGCAGGCAUAACAUUUCUGUUCGGGAUUAUCAGCACUGCUUGCAUCCUCCGGAAAAAAAAAGAAACAAAAGUCGACGAGAAAGAUGUAACGGCGCGAUUUUGCGACCAACGAACACAACGAGGAAAACACACUUUAUAUGGCCACUGGGAGUCGUAGGCGAUCUCCAUAUCCGACGACAAAAUCGUACGAUAUGUUUCUUCCGAUCUCUAACAUC
This 3650-nucleotide unclassified non-coding RNA is filed under the name Neodiprion lecontei (redheaded pine sawfly). Its description in RNAcentral is "fibrillin-3-like, transcript variant X8". Lineage: Eukaryota; Metazoa; Arthropoda; Insecta; Hymenoptera; Diprionidae. The record is from RNAcentral.